UGCUCAUGGGGGCUGCAGCUCGCUCGUAC
This 29-nucleotide small RNA is filed under the name Bombyx mori (domestic silkworm). RNAcentral's name for it is "ovarian small RNA-34165". Lineage: Eukaryota; Metazoa; Arthropoda; Insecta; Lepidoptera; Bombycidae. The record is from RNAcentral.